UACAGAGGGUGCAAGCGUUAAUCGGAAUUACUGGGCGUAAAGCGUGCGUAGACGGUUAUGUAAGUCGGGUGUGAAAGCCCCGGGCUCAACCUGGGAAUGCCAUUCGAGACUGCAUAGCUAGGGUGCGGAAGAGGGAAGCGGAAUUUCCGGUGUAGCGGUGAAAUGCGUAGAUAUCUGGAGGAACACCGGUGGCGAAGGCGGCAUCCUGGACCGACACUGACACUGAGGAGCGAAAGCCAGGGGAGCAAACGGG
RNAcentral lists this ribosomal RNA (253 nucleotides) under uncultured bacterium. RNAcentral describes it as "partial 16S ribosomal RNA". It matches the Rfam family "Bacterial small subunit ribosomal RNA", at positions 524 to 776 of the family's 1533-position model. The record is from RNAcentral.